This 253-nucleotide ribosomal RNA is filed under the name uncultured bacterium. RNAcentral's name for it is "partial 16S ribosomal RNA". It matches the Rfam family "Bacterial small subunit ribosomal RNA", at positions 524 to 776 of the family's 1533-position model. The record is from RNAcentral.
UACGGGGGGGGCAAGCGUUGUCCGGAAUUACUGGGCGUAAAGGGUUCGUAGGCGGCCAACUAAGUCAGACGUGAAAUCCCUCGGCUUAACCGGGGAACUGCAUCUGAUACUGGAUGGCUUGAGAUUGGGAGAGGGAUGCGGAAUUCCAGGUGUAGCGGUGAAAUGCGUAGAUAUCUGGAGGAACACCGGUGGCGAAGGCGGCAUCCUGGACCAACACUGACGCUGAGGAGCGAAAGCCAGGGGAGCAAACGGG